GAUGAAGAACGCAGCGAAAUGCGAUAAGUAAUGUGAAUUGCAGAAUUCAGUGAAUCAUCGAAUCUUUGAACGCACCUUGCACUCCUUGGUAUUCCGAGGAGUACGCCUGUUCGAGUGUUAUGAAGCUCUCAAAACGCAAUUGGCUUAAAUCCUGAUUGUUGUUUUGGAUUUGAACUUUGCCGUGUUAUAACGGCUGGUUUUAAAAGUAUUAGCUGGUACUAGAACGAAUUGGUUCUACUCAACGUGAUAAUUAUCUGAUCGUUGAGGACAUUCCUUUCACGAGGAAUGGCCAUAGUAAAUUCAAUGGACUGCUUAUAAUCUGGCUUUAAUUCUUUAUUGGAUUAACCACUUUUCAAAUCUGACCUCGAAUCAGGUGGGACUACCCGCUGAACUUAAGCAUAUCAAUAAGCGGAGGA
RNAcentral lists this unclassified non-coding RNA (416 nucleotides) under soil metagenome. RNAcentral describes it as "partial contains 5.8S ribosomal RNA, internal transcribed spacer 2, and large subunit ribosomal RNA". The stretch from base 1 to 120 matches the Rfam family "5.8S ribosomal RNA", at positions 35 to 154 of the family's 154-position model. The record is from RNAcentral.